This is a long non-coding RNA of Lutra lutra (Eurasian river otter), 919 nucleotides long. RefSeq lists it as uncharacterized. Lineage: Eukaryota; Metazoa; Chordata; Mammalia; Carnivora; Mustelidae. The transcript has 3 exons. The record is from RefSeq and is a predicted model, not a curated record.
GGAGAUGGAGAGAAAACCUGAAGAAGGAGGCGGGGCGCUGGAGGCCCAAUGCGCGUGCGUCAGCUCACUGCCGCGUUUCCGCUCCGCCCCUUUGUGAUUCCCGACGCCAAGUCGGACCGUCCUUGGAACGCAUGCGCCUUCCCUUAUCUGCGGUUUCCUAGACUCAACACCUUCCACAUCCAGUGUUUUUAAUCUCCCAUGAAUGCGCGUGUAAACACCCCUGGGAACGCGCUUGCCAGAGGCUCGCCCCCUCCAAAAUCCCUAAAAAGGGGCGGGGUGGGGCGUGGAAAAGGGCGCCUGGGCGAGGCCGGAAAGAGAAGAAUCCUGCAGGAAGGAAAGAAGCUGAACUAGUUGGGACGUGACUGGGCAUGCGCACGGGUUACCUGUACUGAGCUGCCUUAACAAUGAGUCUGCUGCGGCGGGAGGCAGUGUGCUGCUCCCAGCAUGCACCAGGCCCAGGCUCCCAGGGGUUCCUGGGAGUUGUAGUUUUUUCGGAGCCCCCUCUCCCUUAUCCUGGAAUGACCUAUCGCCCGCUUCGGAGCCCGGCAGCUUCCCUGGAAAUUGGCUAAGUCGUGGCACCGACUCACCUCUAAGGAGGGAAUUGAGGGGCAGCCCAGGGUUGAACAGUUCUCCCUCUAGUAGAAGAGAAGCAUUGGGAGAGAAAGGACCUUAUCUGCUUAUUCAUCGUUGUAUUUCCAGCCCCUCAAAGAAGUAGCUGGCACAUUAAGAGGCAUGCUCAAAUCAGUGCCUGCUGUGUUGCUGGGAGUAAGCGAGGUGCUGGAUAUAACCCUUGCGAAGUCAAGGACAGAGCUCAUUUUGGCUCAAAUCUUGCUUUCAUCAUUGGAGAGUCACUGAGAAAGUAGUGAAGAGCAGUUGCUGUGAGAAGAUUUUGGUUUAAAAAAUAAAGGUCGGGACUAUG